UACGGGGGGGGCAAGCGUUGUUCGGAAUUACUGGGCGUAAAGGGCUCGUAGGCGGCCAACUAAGUCAGACGUGAAAUCCCUCGGCUUAACCGGGGAACUGCGUCUGAUACUGGAUGGCUUGAGGUUGGGAGAGGGAUGCGGAAUUCCAGGUGUAGCGGUGAAAUGCGUAGAUAUCGGGAGGAACACCUGUGGCGAAAGCGGCGCACUGGACCAUAACUGACGCUGAGGCGCGAAAGCUAGGGGAGCAAACAGG
RNAcentral lists this ribosomal RNA (253 nucleotides) under uncultured prokaryote. Its description in RNAcentral is "partial 16S ribosomal RNA". It matches the Rfam family "Bacterial small subunit ribosomal RNA", at positions 524 to 776 of the family's 1533-position model. The record is from RNAcentral.